GUAACAUGCUGUGGAGGUCCGAACCAGUUUCCGUUGAAAAGGAUUUGGAUGACUUGAGGGUAGGGGUGAAAGGCCAAUCAAACUAGGAAAUAGCUCGUACUCCCCGAAAUGUAUUGAGGUACAGCGUCGUGGUUAGGUGCUGUGGAGGUAGAGCUACCAAUAGGACUAGGGGGUGUCAGAGCCUACCGAAUCCUGAUGAACUCCGAAUGCCACAGCAUUCAUACACGGCAGUGAGGCCUGGGGUGCUAAGGUCCCCGGCCGAGAGGGAAAGAACCCAGACCCGCCGCUAAGGUCCCUAAGUUCUAGCUAAGUUGAACAAAGGAGGUCCAGUUGCUUUGACAGCCAGGAGGUUGGCUUGGAAGCAGCCAUUCCUUUAAAGAGUGCGUAACAGCUCACUGGUCGAGCGACCGGGCAUCGAUAAUACGCGGGCAUCAAGCUAGGCACCGAAGCGCGGGAUUUGCAUGAAUUUGCAAGUGGUAGGGGAGCAUUCUGGUUGCG
Molecule: ribosomal RNA, 498 nt
Filed under: Craspedostauros australis
Lineage: Eukaryota; Bacillariophyta; Bacillariophyceae; Mastogloiales; Achnanthaceae
Description: partial Bacterial large subunit ribosomal RNA
Rfam family: Bacterial large subunit ribosomal RNA
Source: RNAcentral